RNAcentral lists this long non-coding RNA (5605 nucleotides) under Homo sapiens (human). Its description in RNAcentral is "HSALNT0054858". Lineage: Eukaryota; Metazoa; Chordata; Mammalia; Primates; Hominidae. The record is from RNAcentral.
AAGAUAUCAGACAUCACACUCACGUCAAUCUAAAUAAAGGAAAUAUGCUUCUCUGGUAGUAAUUACAUUUAGCCAGUCAUUCCAUAAAUAUUUAUUGAGCUUCUGCUGUGUGCCACUCAUUCUGUUACAUGCUGUGGGAGAUUCUGAGGCAGCCCUCAAGGGACAGAUGGCCUGGUGGUAAGAGGACUGGAAGUAGAAGACAAAGGUAAAAGAAGGUGGAAAGGAAAGGUGCCCAGGAGAUGCAGAUCAUAGGCUAAGGGAUUCUGGGGGAGUGCUCUGAGAGAAGGCUAGGGAAAGGCUUCUCUUCUGAUUGUGGGACUGUGUCUUCCUGUCCUCCAAAUCCCAGGUGCUCAGCUCAGCACCUGACACAGGAUGAGUGCUCAGUGAAUCCUUAAAGGGUGAAUGGCUUUGUGGAAGAUGUGACACUGAGGAACAGGACAGCUGAACCCCUGAGCAGGGCCUCCAGAGAAAAGUUGAGCAGUCACAGAUCCCUGCCCAUAAUUCAUGCUGCCACACAGUCUGUUGGAAGAAGGAAGCCUUCACCAUUUGAGUAGAGCGGCAAAGUCAGUUCCAACUAGAUGUUCAACAGUGAUCUGAUUUCUAUCCAUUUGGUUAAAUGAGAACCUCCUAGGAUCUGUCUUUGUCUUUGAUUUUCUUGAUAAAUAGUCCUUUUUGAAGAAACAGAAAUAUGAUCGUUAAUUUUUUUCUGAUUAUAAGUUUUCUACGCUUACACAAUUUUCAUGGAAUGCAUUCAAGUAUAAAGAAGAAACAAGCUCUCAUAAUCAUAUAACCAAGAAAUAACCACUUCUAAGGAGCAUGCACACACACACACACACACACGCAUACACAAAAAUGGAAAAAUUCUGAUGUUUAAGUUAAUCCACUUUAACAUUAUGCCAUGUCUUUCCAUGUCAACAAAUAGAGAUGUAUAUUAUUGUUUUAAUGAGUGCUGAAUAUGUUAUUGUAGUGAUGAAGUAAAAUUAAUGGAACCAAUUUUCUGUUGUUGGGCAUUUAGGGUUAUUCCAGUUUUAUGCUAUUAUAAAACCACUGCUGUGAACGAACCUCCUUAUAGCUAAAAUAGUCCACAUUUGAAAUCAUUUCCUUCAGAUAAAUUCCUAGAAGUGCAAUUGCUGGGUCAAAUGAGAUGCACGUUUCUAAAGCUCUGUGGCACACGUGGCCAGACUGACUUUUGCUAUUUACUCUCCCCAAUACUGGGUGUUAUCAUUUUUCUUUUCUUUUUCCUUUUUUUUUUUUUUUUUUUGCUAUCUGAAGGAUGGGGAUAUAUAGACUUGCAUAGGAGUGUCAGGUGAGGGGUCAUGUUGAUUUCUCCUGUUCCCUUUCCAGAGAGACUCCCUGACAAAGAAACCUUUCUCCUGGACAUGGAUCAGAGCAGAAUAGCAGGUACCCCCUCUAUGAACCUAGCCUCUAAGUUUGGAGGGGCUAGGAACAUCACUUUGCCAGUCUCAUGUUUCAGGAGAAUUACCUCCUUUUCCCUUUAGUCCCAGGCCAGUGUUCCUCUGAGUGCUUAGGACACCAGGUUCUUGACAUAGUGGAGAAACAGAGAGAGAAUCAAACUGCUGGUCCUGUCAGCUGACUUGAGAAAGGAAUGGGAGCUCCUAAGUCUCUCAAUGAUAGUAGGGUCAUUUCAUCAAGCCACAGUCCUAGGCAAUCAUGGAUGAUACUGGCAGGGGUUUUGUUAGAAAAAAGCCUAGUUUUAUUCUUGCCACAAUUACUAUUCUUCCCUCUUUCUCCCCAUUAAAGUUUAAUGCUGCACUCUCAGCAAGGAUGCUUUUCCUUAAUUGAUGGGCACUUCCUCAACUGAACCAUCACAGGGGAUGCAGAAUGACAACAAAGAGAAGACCCAGUGAGAGGAACAAGCUACCUCAACCCGGAGUGGUGCUCCUGAAAGUCUCUACAGAAGAAUCCAGAACCAGUAUCCCUCGUUCAUUCAACACCUAAUUACCGAGGUCCUUCUCUGAGACAGGCCCUGGGUUAGCUCAGAGAUAGUUCGUAAAGACCAUUGCUCAUGGUCUUUCUUCUGAGGGGAUGUUCCUAAAAUUCCAGGAGCUCAGUCAUGUUGAAGUUCUAUGGUGUGUGAAAAAUCACAGGCCUUGGAAUCAUGCGACCUGGGCUCCAUUAUUGCCUGAAUGACGCUAACCCAUCAUUUCUCCUCUCGGCCUCAGUUUCUUCCUCUGUGAAACAGCAUGGCAACAGUAACUUUACAUAGAAUUGUGAGGAUUCAGCAGGGUGACCAUAAAAAGUGCUUCACAUAGAGCUUGAUGCAUAGUGAGCACUCAAUAAAUUUUAGCUCUGUGAUGAUGAUAAUCUGUAAAAUGAAGAGAAUAAUGCUAAUCAUAUACAGGUGUUAUAAAGAUUAAAUGAAAUAAGGCUUGUUACGUAGCUGGUACCUAGACAGUGCUCAUAAAAUGGUAGUUUUAGGGCUAUUUCUUUAUGUUAGAAGUAUCAGCCAGGUGUGGUCGCUCAUGCCUGUCAUCCCAGCACUUUGUGAGGUCAAGGCAGGAGGAUAGCUUGAGCCCAGGAGUUCAAGACCAGCCUGGGCAACAUAGUGAGAUCCCAUCUCUACCAAAAAAAAUUACUUAGGUGGUGCAUACCUGUAGUCCCAGCUACUUGGGAGGCUAGGGUGGGGGGAUCACUUGAGCCCAGGAGGUCAAGAUUGCAGUGAGCUAUGAUCGCACCAUUGCACUUCAGUCUGGGUGAGAGGCAGGAAGACUCUGAGGAGAUGAAUUUCUGAACACAUAGUAGUUUUGACUUUUAGAGACAGGCUCAUCUUCUUCUUCUUUUUUUUUUUUUUUGAGACAGAGCCUUGCUCUGUUGCCCAGACUGGAAUGCAGAGGCACAAUCUCGGCUCACUGCAAACUAGUGUCCCUGGUUUAAGUGAUUCUCCUGCCUCAGCCUCCCAAGUAGCUGGGAUUACAGACGCCCACCACCAUGCCUGGCUAAUUUCUUUGUAUUUUUAGUAGAGAUGGGGUUUUACCAUGUUGGCCAGGCUGGUCUUGACCAGGCUGGUCUCGAACUCCUGACCUCAGGUGAUCUGCCCACCUCGGCCUCCCAAAGUUCUGGGAUUAUAGGCAUAAGCCACUGUGCCCAGCCGACAGGCUCUUCUUCUUGAAGCAUCUCCAGUAAAAGUGCAACAGGGAAGAAAUAAUUAUUUCUUUAUAUUUGAGAAUAUAAAGUGUCUAUCAUUGCUUAGUAAAUUAUAGGAGAAUAGCAGAACUGAUCUGGACAACAAGAGAGAGGGAGAAAAUCUCUUAGAAAUGGAGAGAAAUAGGGCUGGUGACCCAAGGGCCCAAGGAGACUACAACAGUCACUCUUGGUCAGAGGAUAGGUGAUGAAUUUUCAGUAACUAUUCGUGUCAAGCUUUAAGCUUGAAGUUUCCCCCCAACAGCCCUGAGCUGUAAUUACCCUCUGUUUACUCCAGAUUUUGUAAAGGUCUUUUAUACACACAACCUUGGAUUGGUGGUGCUUGGGAAAGGAAACGGGGGAGGCUUUGCUCAUGCUUAAGGAGAAAGGGCUGGAGACGAGCUCUGAGCACAAACUCAAAGCAAGAGGGAACAGGAGCUUGCAUCUUUACCUCUUGGGAACAACUGUGGGACAAUGAGGUGAGUCAUUUUAGUUGGGUAUUGAAGCAGAGGGUGACUGUCCCAGAAGGCUGAGGAAUGCAAAUAAACAAAUUGAAAUAAACCCUCAGGAUGAUUUGCUUAUUAAUUAGGUUUCUAGGAAGGUCUCUCGGUAUCCAAACUACUUGGAAACAAAACAAAACAAAAUACAACAUAUGCAUGAGUGUCUGGAGAGUUAAGAAUGCCAAUUUUUUUUUUCAGAAGCCGAGACUAUUGGUGAUUCUGCCACAGUAGAGAGAUAAGCUCUGACGACUCAAAAUUAUACGUACAUCAGCCUCAGGCAUGGUUUCUAAAAUGCUUUUCCAGUCCCAGAGGGACCAAUUUGGCACUCAGGGCACAUAUUUGCCAUGUGCCACCUCAAGCUUUGGCAUCAUAAUCAAUGAAAAGGAGCUUAAUGAUGAAUUAAAAUACACUCUUUGGGUAUAAAUUACCUGCCAUUUAAAGCAGAAAGUCCUCCUCACUUUGUUAGUUGGUUGUGUAAAUACCCAAAAGCCCUGUGCAGAUUUGAUCCACCCUAGAGUGAAUGGAUUAAGAUUUAAGAUGCAAGAGUGUCCUUGUUUAUUUUCCCCCUUAGUGAUCUGGCUUAAUGAUUUCUCCCUUCUCUGUGGCAUUGCAAGGAAUUGUUAAAUACAGUAUAUGGCAAAAUGGGAAGAAAGAACAGGGAAGAACAUGGAAGGAAGAGAAAAACCUGAUUAAUCCAUGACUUUUAAACCAGGGAAAGGACAGUGAGAGAAACAGGUGCAACAUUUAGUUAGAGGGUAGGGACAGAAAUAGAGAGAAAGUGGGAGAAAUGAAUAAAGACUUGUGACAAUAAUGCAGAAAUAGCCACUGUUUAAUGAGAACCUACCAUGUACUAGUGCUGGGCUAGCAAGUAUGCCAAGUACAACAAGUAAAAGCAGGCUUGGUCCUUGUUCUCAUGGAGCUUAGCCUCUGUGGUCUACACAACUGGACUAGGUUUCUGAGGCAAAGGUCAUGUCCACUGAUAGGCUGGGACCUCUCCAAACUCACCUUGCACCACUCUGUUCUCUAUAUUUUUUCAUCGGUCAUUCUGGAAUCUUUUCAGUUCUUCCAGCCUGCCAGGCUCUCCUGCUGCCCACAUACUCCCACAUACUCUUCAUUGCUUGAGAGCUCUUUGCCCCUCUGCUAUGGUUGAGAUAGGAUCUUGCUCUGUCACCCAGGCUGGAGUGCAGUGGCAUGAUCAUGGCUCACUGUAGCUUUGACCUCCUAGCAUUCAGGUGAUCCUCCCACCUUAGCCCCCUGAGUAGCUGGGGCCACAGGUGUGCACCACCACGCCCAGCUAAUUUUGUAUUUUUUGUAGAGACGGUGUUUUGCCAUGUUGCUCAGGCUGGUCUCGAGCUCCUGGGCUCCAGUGAUCCUCCCACCUCAGCCUCCCAAAGUGCUGGGAUUAUAGGUGCGAGCCACUGUGCCCAGCAGUUUGGUUUGAAUGUUUGUCCCCUCCAAAACUCAUGUUAAAAUUUAAUCCCCAAGAUGGCAGUAUUUCGGGGUGGGAACUUUAAGAGGUGAUUGGUUUAUAAGGGCUGUGCCCUCAUAAAUGAAUUAAUCCACUCAUAAUGAAUGGAUUAAUGGGUUAGUGGAUUAAUGAGUUAUCCUGGGAGUAGGACUAGUGGCUUUAUAAGAGAAGGAAAAGAUACUUCAGCUAGCACAGUUAGCCCCCUCACCAUGUGAUGCCCUGCACUGCCUCGAGACGCUGCAGUCUCUGCCAGCAAGAAGACCCUCACCAGAUGCAGCCCCUAUACCUAGGACUUCUCAGGCUUUGUAACUGUGAGAAAUAAAUUCCUUUUCUUUAUAAAUUACUCAGUUUCAGGCAUUCUGUUAUAAGCAACAUAAAACAGACUAAAACACCUGUCUUAACUGGCAAUCUCCUUUUCAACUCAGCAAAGACUCUGUCUUCCUUCCGGAAACUUCCUUCACCCCAGGCUAGCUUAGAGCCUCCUGUUACAUGUCCU